GACGAACGCUGGCGGCGUGCCUAAUACAUGCAAGUUGAGCGCUGAAGGUUGGUACUUGUACCAACUGGAUGAGCAGCGAACGGGUGAGUAACGCGUGGGGAAUCUGCCUUUGAGCGGGGGACAACAUUUGGAAACGAAUGCUAAUACCGCAUAAAAACUUUAAACACAAGUUUUAAGUUUGAAAGAUGCAAUUGCAUCACUCAAAGAUGAUCCCGCGUUGUAUUAGCUAGUUGGUGAGGUAAAGGCUCACCAAGGCGAUGAUACAUAGCCGACCUGAGAGGGUGAUCGGCCACAUUGGGACUGAGACACGGCCCAAACUCCUACGGGAGGCAGCAGGAGGGAAUCUUCGGCAAUGGACGAAAGUCUGACCGAGCAACGCCGCGUGAGUGAAGAAGGGUUUCGGAUCGUAAAACUCUGUUGGUAGAGAAGAACGUUGGUGGGAGUGGAAAGCUCAUCAAGUGACGGUAACUACCCAGAAAGGGACGGCUAACUACGUG
Molecule: ribosomal RNA, 497 nt
Filed under: uncultured bacterium
Lineage: Bacteria
Description: partial 16S ribosomal RNA
Rfam family: Bacterial small subunit ribosomal RNA
Source: RNAcentral